This 1434-nucleotide long non-coding RNA is filed under the name Pan troglodytes (chimpanzee). Its description in RNAcentral is "long non-coding RNA NONPTRT007381". Lineage: Eukaryota; Metazoa; Chordata; Mammalia; Primates; Hominidae. The record is from RNAcentral.
CCGGCCCGGCUCCGGAGAAAUGGCGCUUGAGAAAGGAGGGGAAGGGAAGGUUCCCGGACCCCUGGGCAGGGACCGGUCGCCGGGGACCCGCGGAGCCCUCCGGGGAUGGAGGAGGCGCGAGCUGGAAGCGGCGCGCGAGCCCGAGCGCGGGGCUAACACCGUGGGGCCCAGUGUCUCCUGGCUCGGGUAAGUGGACGCGCCCCGAGGCCCCGGGUCCACGCAGGGCGCCCCUCGCAGACGGCGCGUUUCCUACUCUCCUAAAGAACCGAGUUCCCAUCACUGCCUCCGAUGAGCCUGUUUCCGGAUCAGGAACCUUUUUCAAGUUAAUUUUUAAAGCCUCAUUUGAAUUUUUUAAUAUAGGAAAAUACGUAUAUGAGAAAAAUCUUGGAUGCAACAAAAAGAACACCGUGGCCACCCGUGGUGUCCCAGGAGUUGCUCUGAGCUCCUCGCGUCAGGGCAGUUGUUACAGCAAAUAACUGCAGACGGGUCUGCUGGACGCGGUGGAGAGGGGCUGGCAGCUGCCCAGCACAGGCGCCUGGCCGCUGGGCAGCUCCCGCAAUACCAAAAUAAGCUCACGAGUUCCCCUGGAAGACUUGGGCCGCCGGGAGCUCGGGCUGGUGAUCUGCUCGGAGGAAACCUCCCUACUUUCCUUUUUUACUCUUCCUGCUGUCCAGAGCUAACAAAUGUUUUUAAUUUCAGAGGAACAUGGUGUGGGGAUCUGCAGACUCGCCUUCCACUGGGGAGAGGGCCAGCGAGGGGACAGAGGGGGAGGAAAGGAGAGGGGAUAAUAGACCUGAGGUCAGUGUUGAUGCUGGAGGGCCCAGGUCUCUGAAGUUCCUGCAGCUUUGCAGAUGAGCGGGCUGCAAGUGAGGCUAGGCCUGUGGACACCCAGUGGGGCCUGGAACAGUGCCAGGAGUGGCCUUGAACCCCACCUCGAUCCCUCUCCAGCAGGAUCUGGGGUCACUUGCAUGGGCCUGGCAGACACCACUCCAGAUUUGCCCUCUGGCCUGGGGAGCAGAUAACCCCCCGCCCCACAUAACCAGCUGCGCUCCUACACCUGGCAGGCCGGCUCACACAUCACCCUUUAACGCACACUAUAUUCACACACACACUUGUGCAGUCUUGAAUGUGUGCACACACAUCUGCCUGCACACACUCAUGUGCCCACAUGUGAAUCACUUGGAAGUGUACACACACCCAAACCCACAGCGCAGAUGGGCAGACAGGUGAGCCCCGUGCAGCAUGUCACACUCCCACAUGCACAAGACAUGCGUGCAGAGGCAUAUCACACACGCAGAAGCACUCCCGAGAACCGCCUUCUCCCUUCCAGCCUAGGGGCCCCUGUUCCCCCACAACCGGGCCCAGCCCUGGAGCCCCCUCCAGCACUCCUCUCCCACCCCCACGCUCCCAAAGAGCAGCAGAUGUAGGUCUCCC